Misgurnus anguillicaudatus (oriental weatherfish) is the source of this 452-nucleotide long non-coding RNA. RefSeq lists it as uncharacterized. The record is from RefSeq and is a predicted model, not a curated record. Lineage: Eukaryota; Metazoa; Chordata; Actinopteri; Cypriniformes; Cobitidae.
CUUUGUGUUGUAUUUGUAAACAAUCCAUGUCAAUCAUAUCCACGGUCUGUUUUUUGUGGUUUUUUUCAUGUCUGUGGUAAACGCUGACGGUCGCGAAGUUGUUCGUGACUGAACAUCAUUGCAUUAGGCGAUGUCAAACCGAAUAUGCGACUUAAACUACUGUUUGCACAUUAGGCAUUACAGAGGGUGUGCUAAGGACAUCGGCAAUUCGGCAAGUAGAUGAGUUCCAGUUUAAAGGCUUACAAACGUGUGCAAAGUGCCUUCUCACUACUGCCACACUUUAAUGCAUUUGGCGACCCCUACUGGACAUUACAGCUGGACUCGGACCCUCUGCAGUUUCCCCUCCGGCGUUAAAGCUGUUGGAGGCGAUGCCAUAGCCCUGUACUGUCCGUCACGUAGACAGAUGGUCCAGAAGCCGUUCUCCGGCCUCGCAGGUACUUCCUUGUCUCUCU